GUCUUUAAAUGCUCUGAGCACUGUUUGUUUCCACAUCACGACACAAAGCUCAUGAACACAGCAAGGUGGAAGAACGACUUCCCGAGUGCCGUCCUAGAUACUGAUGCAUCAAUGUCUACCUAGUUUUACUGUUGUGGUUGGUUGAUGUAACUAUAAAUAUAAAACACUAAAUCAUAUUUUAAAAGCUCAAAUUUUGUAUGUAAAAUCUUUUAAGUAACCAGUAAAUAUAGCUUUCGAACUAAACCAGUGCAGUGCCUCUGAACUGUAAUGGAGUAGACGCAUGAAGUAGCAUAAAAUUAUAAGUACAAGUAGAGCUGGGCAAUAUGGAGAAAUCAAAUAUCCUCGAUAACGAUAUUGCGACGACAUGUAGGGUUGACAAUUGGUGCUUUCGCUAAAUAUUUACGCAAUGAGAUUUAUGAUAAAUAAUCAGUAAGUAUGGAUGAGUCAAGUGGUACAUGGGAACUUUAAGUCUCUGUAAGUAGGAUGAGAUCUUAUCCAAAGGGGAGUAAAUGUUGGUCGGUGAAUGAUGAUUUGUUUAUGAUGCACAAGGAUAAAACCAAGAAACUGUCCAUUCUGACCAACAUAAGUAAAGUCCCUUCUUAACAAUGUCUUCACUGUGGAGCUCUCACAUAUUUUCCAUUAAACUUAACCCAAUACACCAUUAACUCCAGAAUCUAACCAGUGGCAUUUUAUUUGAUUUCAGUUUCUUUCUGCAAACAUCCUACACAUGUCAACACAACAUUUUCACACACACUUUGAGUGAAAUACAAAUUGAAUGAAAUACAAAAAUAUCAACAAACUACAUCCUAGAAAAGCUACAAAACAAGAAAAAUGAUGUUCCUGGCAGUGACAUUAUCAUAUCGGUCUAAAACAUCCUGAGUGUUGAGGAGAGGCCAUGUCCAUGAGAUAGUCUUCAAUGCGUGUUUCUAUGUCUGAGUACAGGUCCUCAACUUGCUCCCUGAAAGGAGGAUG
Etheostoma spectabile (orangethroat darter) is the source of this 972-nucleotide long non-coding RNA. RefSeq lists it as uncharacterized. Lineage: Eukaryota; Metazoa; Chordata; Actinopteri; Perciformes; Percidae. The record is from RefSeq and is a predicted model, not a curated record. The transcript is spliced from 2 exons.